CUGACAGUCUUGGAAAAUGAAGUCCUCAAAAAAAGGAACAGCACCGGCAAUGGCAGUGCAAGUUUCCUCACACUGCCCUGCCAAUAUGCCCAAUCCCUAACCUGGAUAUCCACUUCUGGAAUGAGGAGGAUUUUCUAUGCUUACCUAGACUUGGAGAUC
Molecule: small RNA, 159 nt
Filed under: Chrysemys picta bellii (western painted turtle)
Lineage: Eukaryota; Metazoa; Chordata; Testudines; Emydidae
Description: TUC338 (ENSCPBG00000026624.1)
Source: RNAcentral